AGCAGCCGCGGUAAUUCCAGCUCCAAUAGCGUAUAUUAAAGUUGUUGCAGUUAAAAAGCUCGUAGUUGAAUUUCGGGAUUGACACAUCGGUCGUGCCUUAAGGGGUAUGAACUGGUGUAGUCAAUUUCUCACCUUCUGGAGAACCGCGAUGCCCUUAAUUGGGUGUCGCGAGGAACCAGGACCUUUACUUUAGAAAAAUUAGAGUGUUUAAAGCAGGCAUUUUGCUUGAAUACAUUAGCAUGGAAUAAUAAAAUAGGACGGCAUGAUUCUAUUUUGUGUUUUAGGAUCACCGUAAUGAUUAAUAGGGAUAGUUGGGGGCAUUAGUAUUCAAUUGUCAGAGGUGAAAUUCUUGGAUUUAUUGAAGACUAACUACUAGCGAAAGCAUUUGCCAAGGUAUGUUUUACAUUAAUCAAAGAACGAAAGUUAGGGGAUCGAAGACGAUCAGAUACCGUCGUAGUCUUAAACCAUAAACUAUGCCGACUAGGAAUCAGACGAUUGUUAAUUUUUAAUGACUCG
Molecule: ribosomal RNA, 516 nt
Filed under: uncultured Entrophosporaceae
Lineage: Eukaryota; Fungi; Glomeromycota; Glomeromycetes; Entrophosporales; Entrophosporaceae
Description: SSU rRNA
Rfam family: Eukaryotic small subunit ribosomal RNA
Source: RNAcentral